UGGAAACAUGCAAAUAUUUGAAAUUUUCUUUUCUUUUUCCAUUUUUUUUUGGGAAAUUAAAAUGAAAACUACAGGAAUAAAAACUACAUGAAAAACUAUUAACUGAAUACUAUAUGAAUGCAACUAGAUGAAUACUACAUGAAUGAACUGGAGCUGGAAGAUUGCACCCCCAAACUUAACCUAUGCAAUGUCCUCAUUGUAUAUAACAAACAAAAUUUUAAGAAAUUAAGCACUGAGGACUUCCCUGAAAGAUAGAAGCUUUAUUCCGCGUCAGUAUCCUCUUCUUCUACUUCUUCUUCAUCAUCCGGGGGGUACGCAGACAAUGGGGGAAAUUGGUAGGGAGCAGCAGCUGGAUUCAUACGGGCAAACAUCUCUAGGAAUGCUGCACUACAGUUCUGAUACACCUCUGCUUGUCGCUGAGCUAGGCUAUCCUGAUUGCUUUCAACCCGGUCAAAACCCUGUUGAACUCUAGUAGCCACCAUGUCAAUCCUUCUAGUUUGAUUUCUUAAUUCUCGGCGAAUAUCUUCAAAAAAAAUUGGUGGUGGCCCAGAACUUCCAGCUGCAGGAGGAUUGUCAUGGGAUUGUUGAUUAGGCUCGGUUGCAGACUCGGGAGGCACAAUAAUGAACCCUAACCCUCUCGGGUGUGGUGUACCCCCACCCCAUACCUUGUACUUCUUAAUAAGCGAGUGGUCAAUCGCAGCUAAGGGAGG
Molecule: long non-coding RNA, 710 nt
Filed under: Panax ginseng (ginseng)
Lineage: Eukaryota; Viridiplantae; Streptophyta; Magnoliopsida; Apiales; Araliaceae
Description: long non-coding RNA (PGIN_LNC008220)
Source: RNAcentral